Molecule: ribosomal RNA, 595 nt
Filed under: uncultured Bacteroidota bacterium
Lineage: Bacteria; Pseudomonadati; Bacteroidota
Description: bacterial SSU rRNA
Rfam family: Bacterial small subunit ribosomal RNA
Source: RNAcentral
CAACCUACCUAUCAGAGGGGAAUAACCCGGCGAAAGUCGGACUAAUACCGCAUAAAACAGGGACACCGCAUGGUGAUAUUUGUUAAAGAAAUUCGCUGAUAGAUGGGCAUGCGUUCCAUUAGGUAGUUGGUGAGGUAACGGCUCACCAAGCCGACGAUGGAUAGGGGAACUGAGAGGUUGGUCCCCCACACUGGUACUGGGACACGGACCAGACUCCUACGGGAGGCAGCAGUGAGGAAUAUUGGUCAAUGGGCGAGAGCCUGAACCAGCCAAGUCGCGUGAAGGAAGAAGGAUCUAUGGUUCGUAAACUUCUUUUGCAGGGGAAUAAAGUGCAGGACGUGUCCUGUUUUGUAUGUACCCUGAGAAUAAGGAUCGGCUAACUCCGUGCCAGCAGCCGCGGUAAUACGGAGGAUCCGAGCGUUAUCCGGAUUUAUUGGGUUUAAAGGGUGCGUAGGUGGUUUGAUAAGUCAGCGGUGAAAGUUUGCAGCUUAACUGUAAAAAUGCCGUUGAAACUGUCGGACUUGAGUGUAAAUGAGGUAGGCGGAAUGCGUGGUGUAGCGGUGAAAUGCAUAGAUAUCACGAAGAACUCCGAUUG